Molecule: ribosomal RNA, 1442 nt
Filed under: Klebsiella pneumoniae subsp. ozaenae
Lineage: Bacteria; Pseudomonadati; Pseudomonadota; Gammaproteobacteria; Enterobacterales; Enterobacteriaceae
Description: bacterial SSU rRNA
Rfam family: Bacterial small subunit ribosomal RNA
Source: RNAcentral
CAUGCAAGUCGAGCGGUCGCACAGAGAGCUUGCUCUCGGGUGACGAGCGGCGGACGGGUGAGUAAUGUCUGGGAAACUGCCUGAUGGAGGGGGAUAACUACUGGAAACGGUAGCUAAUACCGCAUAACGUCGCAAGACCAAAGUGGGGGACCUUCGGGCCUCAUGCCAUCAGAUGUGCCCAGAUGGGAUUAGCUAGUAGGUGGGGUAACGGCUCACCUAGGCGACGAUCCCUAGCUGGUCUGAGAGGAUGACCAGCCACACUGGAACUGAGACACGGUCCAGACUCCUACGGGAGGCAGCAGUGGGGAAUAUUGCACAAUGGGCGCAAGCCUGAUGCAGCCAUGCCGCGUGUGUGAAGAAGGCCUUCGGGUUGUAAAGCACUUUCAGCGGGGAGGAAGGCGGUAAGGUUAAUACCUUUGUUGAUUGACGUUACCCGCAGAAGAAGCACCGGCUAACUCCGUGCCAGCAGCCGCGGUAAUACGGAGGGUGCAAGCGUUAAUCGGAAUUACUGGGCGUAAAGCGCACGCAGGCGGUCUGUCAAGUCGGAUGUGAAAUCCCCGGGCUCAACCUGGGAACUGCAUUUGAAACUGGCAGGCUAGAGUCUUGUAGAGGGGGGUAGAAUUCCAGGUGUAGCGGUGAAAUGCGUAGAGAUCUGGAGGAAUACCGGUGGCGAAGGCGGCCCCCUGGACAAAGACUGACGCUCAGGUGCGAAAGCGUGGGGAGCAAACAGGAUUAGAUACCCUGGUAGUCCACGCCGUAAACGAUGUCGAUUUGGAGGUUGUGCCCUUGAGGCGUGGCUUCCGGAGCUAACGCGUUAAGUCGACCGCCUGGGGAGUACGGCCGCAAGGUUAAAACUCAAAUGAAUUGACGGGGGCCCGCACAAGCGGUGGAGCAUGUGGUUUAAUUCGAUGCAACGCGAAGAACCUUACCUGGUCUUGACAUCCACAGAACUUUCCAGAGAUGGAUUGGUGCCUUCGGGAACUGUGAGACAGGUGCUGCAUGGCUGUCGUCAGCUCGUGUUGUGAAAUGUUGGGUUAAGUCCCGCAACGAGCGCAACCCUUAUCCUUUGUUGCCAGCGGUCCGGCCGGGAACUCAAAGGAGACUGCCAGUGAUAAACUGGAGGAAGGUGGGGAUGACGUCAAGUCAUCAUGGCCCUUACGACCAGGGCUACACACGUGCUACAAUGGCACAUACAAAGAGAAGCGACCUCGCGAGAGCAAGCGGACCUCAUAAAGUACGUCGUAGUCCGGAUUGGAGUCUGCAACUCGACUCCAUGAAGUCGGAAUCGCUAGUAAUCGUAGAUCAGAAUGCUACGGUGAAUACGUUCCCGGGCCUUGUACACACCGCCCGUCACACCAUGGGAGUGGGUUGCAAAAGAAGUAGGUAGCUUAACCUUCGGGAGGGCGCUUACCACUUUGUGAUUCAUGACUGGGGUGAAGUCG